RNAcentral lists this long non-coding RNA (1338 nucleotides) under Canis lupus dingo (dingo). RNAcentral describes it as "lncRNA (ENSCAFG00020006269.1)". Lineage: Eukaryota; Metazoa; Chordata; Mammalia; Carnivora; Canidae. The record is from RNAcentral.
CUUUUUAUAUGGCAUUCAAGUUGAGUUCCAAGUUCAACCGUCCAAGUGUUACCCUGCCUCCUCCCACACGAAUUACUUCUGCAGGUGAAGGAGACGAGCCAACUAGCUCCGCCCCGUUCCCCGAAGCCUAGUCUCCCGGGAAUCUUUUUAAAAAUCCCCACACAGUGUCUGCGAAGGCCUCCCGCCCAGCGGGACUCGGCUGCUUCUGGCUAGGGCGAGAUAUUGUUCUCCCGUACAUAUGAUCCAGACUAGCUCCAGGAGCCAGUCAAGAGAUUUUGCCACAGGAUCUAGGACAUAAGGAUUUACCUCCUAUCACCCACCUUGCAGAUCUCCUAGGGACCUUUCGCCGCCUUCUGCUGCAAAUGAUUGGACAUCCAUUUGCAUUUCCUCUUCCAUCAUGUGGGGAAACCUUUUGUUUACUGUGCUCCAGGCUGGACCUGGCCUGAAAGUGGGUCCUUGAAUUACCUUUGUACUAUUCCAACUUGCCAAGGUGGUUUUGAGACCUGAGGGCCGUAUUCAAGCAUGGGCGUUAGGCCAAGUAUAUAUGUAAUCCAUAUGGUACCAACGGUGGGCCCCAAAGAUAACAGCAUCUGUAGCUGGACCAGAAGACAAGCUACGAUGAAAACUAAGAUUUCAUCCUCUGUGAUGAUCUUCUCCACCACCAGCACCACCAAUGCAUUCCUGAAAGAAGGACCAAAGUAAUGCCAAGAACCCCCAAAUGAAGAGGACCUUCCUGGAUCUGUAACUGGGAUUAUUUAAUCAAUUUUGUACUUCAAGAGAAAGUUUCCACUAAUUCUGAGGAUAAAGCCAAACAGGCCUGACAGUCCCUUGAGUACUGACAGUGUAAACAAGCUUCUGGCUUCCCCAGGUCGAGCAGAGAAACACUUUUCAUUAGAAUGUUGGGUUUCUUCUUUGUUAUUCAAACAUACACCCACACAUAUCCUCUUCACCCUGGCUAAUGAAAAACCUCAACAGAUGGAGAGCCUAGGCUCCCCAGACUUAUGGCUGAGGAGAUGCACUUCCUUCAGUGUGGGUUGGCUGGUACAGAAUGGGGGAGGGAGAAGAAAUGAGUAGCUGGUAUAGGUAAUCACUAUCUUUUAAUACUCCUUACAGAUAGAAAUUCGAAAAAUCCUGUUCAGCAAGGUUAGCAGCCUGUGAGGCCUCGGAAGCCAAUUUGGCUGAUGUGUCUCUAAUAGGGACUAGGCUUGGGGCGGCACCAGGGGGAAAGGACUCACUCCAUAUUCUCUCUCUCUCUCUCUCAUUUGAAAGCCUGUACAAAGAAAUGGUACAAAUGGAUGGUUAACUUAAUGAUUCAUCAGAGGCGGAUUUUUCUCUGUC